AAAAAACAAAGAGAAAAAAAGGAAAUGAAUGAAAGAAGAAGAAAAAAAUGUGAAUAAAAAUUAAUUGAAAAUAAGUGUUUAAAAAAGGGUCUUAAGAAGAAGGGAAUACCAUGCUAACUAACCAUUUGUGGGUCUCUCAAUUUCUUGCGUCCUAUCAUUUAUAAGAAGUAUGUGAGGAACAAUAUGCUCAUAUGAUUGUCCCAUUCUCCUCCAAAUCAUUUCAA
This 224-nucleotide long non-coding RNA is filed under the name Vigna radiata. RNAcentral's name for it is "long non-coding RNA (VRAD_LNC007126)". Lineage: Eukaryota; Viridiplantae; Streptophyta; Magnoliopsida; Fabales; Fabaceae. The record is from RNAcentral.